CGGGACGUGGCUCAGCCUGGUAGAGUGCUCGCUUGGGGUGCGAGAGGUCGUGGGUUCAAAUCCCGCCGUCCCGACCA
This 77-nucleotide transfer RNA is filed under the name Nitrospinota bacterium. RNAcentral's name for it is "tRNA-Pro". It matches the Rfam family "tRNA". From Rfam's summary of the family: Transfer RNA (tRNA) molecules are approximately 80 nucleotides in length. Lineage: Bacteria; Pseudomonadati; Nitrospinota. The record is from RNAcentral.